Long non-coding RNA from Equus caballus (horse), 7234 nucleotides. RefSeq lists it as uncharacterized. The record is from RefSeq and is a predicted model, not a curated record. NCBI's taxonomy places the organism in Eukaryota, Metazoa, Chordata, Mammalia, Perissodactyla, Equidae.
UGGAAUGCAUGAACUUAACCACUUGGCCACGGGGCCGGUCCCUGGUUAUUUCAAUUUUUUACUGUUACCCAACAUACCAUUUGCAAAUGAAAGAUCCAGUUACAAUAUAUGAAUAGGUUGAUAAGUUAAAAAAGGUGUUUUCUUUCGAGCCGAAUAGCUGCAUUUGCAGGGAUCCUGGACAGGAAGCUGCAUGCCUCUUCAGUGACGUUACAGCCCCGUGCCUGCCCUCUUCUUCACUCAGACCUCAAAAGAAAAGCCCGUGAUGGAUAGGCAGCGGGAAAGUGGCAUCCGGCCCCCAGGAUGCCGACCUCAUCGGAAGCACCAGUUUUAUUAACUACCGCAGGUUCUCCCAGGACGUGAAGGCAAAGACAGCUAACAUUUCAUUUCAUUCAAGGCCACACACAUGGGGACCGUUCAUCUCUCCAGCUUUCAACAGGCCCUCACCCUCCCACUCGGGACAGCCACUCAUCACCCUCUGAAAUAAGUGUCCACCCUGAGCAAAGGGCCUCGCUUCCAGUUGCUUGCUUCCUAAGAAUUCACUGAAGGGAAACUCUAGGAGCAGAUAGUUACAUUCAUCAAGGUAGAGGAAACCCCGCAGAAAGCUGGUUUAAGCCCUGGUGCCCGAGAAGCCUGCCCUCAACUGUUGCCUCUUCCAGUUGGCUGAUGGUUCUGAGUCCCUUCUGUGGCUUUUCUAUUCGGGCUGGAACUCCUGACUUCUUUGCUCUUACCCAAGAGCAUCUGGCUAAAUGAAGUUAAAAAGCUCUGCUCACGAGCCUCUAUGGCCUGCUUUGUAUUAUUAAAGAAUGGGCUCUAAGACUGGUGAAGUCUAAAUAUAUUCUAAUAUGAGAGGCGGCUUUGAAACGGGCACUCGGACAAAGAGAUCUGAGCCCCCCGGAGGAAGGUGCCUGUUAGUGCCUCCAUGGGAGAGAGGCAACCUCACAGCAAACAGAUCUGACUGCGUAAAAGCCUCCUCCUCACAGACCAGCAAGCCUCGAGGAAUUCCAAUCACCAAAUGCAUUCAACGCCACUCUUCACCCAGGCCCCUCCAAGAAACAGGAGGCAAGAAUGAGGAUCUCUGCUUAAUGACAGCACCACUCUGUGGCCAACCGACUGGCCUGCCCAGGACCACCCUCAGAAUCAGCAGCUGAACCAGAUCGAGGUGACCAUGACCUUCUGACAGAUAGCUCUGCAACAUCCAGAGCCCCAGCUCCUCUCAAUGCUCAUUUCCUCCACCAGGGCGCAGACACAGAGCAGAAGCAGGCUCCAAGCGCAUCUCACUUAACAGACAUUUAUUGAGGACCUACUAUGUGCUUGUCCCAGGCUCUGGGGAUAUGAAGAUAAGCAAAUCAGGGGGCCUUGCCUUGAGGAGCCCACCAUCCAGGCCAUGAACCAGAAACUGAGCUUUGCCCUGCAAAUAGCGCACUUAAAAAAACGAAUAAUUGCAUGAGAAAGCUACCGAGAAAAUAAUGCCACAGACAUUAUUAAUUUCCCAUUGGCCAAAGACUUUAAUCGAAACUAGUAUGUGAAGAGAGGACAGUCUUUGAUUCAUAAUUAAUUUAAAACUUUGGAAUUGGGGUACACUUUACGCACUAGUCUGGCACACAGCAGCCCCAUGACCUGGCUCCAGCAUCGUCUGAUGGCACCGAGGCAGCAGUACUGUAGUAUGUGAUUUGCCUAUUGGUGUACUGGGCUGCCUGACACCUUUUCCCAGAGCGACACUGACACGUGUCAGUUUAAACACGUUGACAUAGCCAUCUCCUUGGCUCAUUUGGCAGAAUUCCUGCCACUGCACAUAGAGAAGGGGAGGGCAGCACGGACUAAGCGGCCGUUGGGAGAGGUACUUGCAGGGCAUCAUUGGAGACAAUUCUUUAUUCUUGCACCUCUGUGUGUUCAGUUUCAAACACAUCACCCAGCAACUAUAAUUCAGUGUUUCCUCCUUCACUAAUAUGAUUUUUGGAUAUGCUGACCUAAAACAUUCAAAGUAGGGUGGAGAAAAUGGCAAAUAGCAAUUUCUCAGGAAUAUAUAUGGUUCCCAAUGCUCACAAAACUUAGGAUCGCUCAUUAAAAGUGGUGGAAGUGGUCCACUCAGUGUCACAAAUUCAUGACAUUUCUGAAAGCAAUCCUAGAACCUUAGAACCUGAGAAGGUCCCUAGAAAGGAGUCUAGAACCUUUUUGUCAAGUCCCAGCAUUUUACAGCUGAGAAAUCUAAGGCGCUGAGAAGACUGCCUCUUGCUGGUGUUAGUGCCUGUUGGGGCCUGACCUGAAGCCCGAGCCAGGCAUGCAGGCAUGAACGGUGAGGAUGGUUAUGGCUUCAUGGAUUAAUUACACUGUUCAAUCAACAGAUGAGGGAAGGAGCCCAUCUCAAGACCCUAGGGUCAGAGUUUUAAAAUUUCACAUCAGUCACAUUUAAAUAAACAAACCGCCAAAAAAAUAUAUAUCUGAAGAUUGGUGCUCAUUUUGAUGAACUACUCAUAGAAAAGGAUGAAAUGCAUGCUUGAGGUAUCCCUUUCUCAUAUGUCCAUAGAUAUUUCCUAUGAAAGGAGUGCCAGGCAAGAAAGUAAAGAUGCCCAACUUUGCUUUACAUGGUUUCAGAUUCACUGCUUCAGUGUCAAAUAAUGUGACACCUGCUCAACAGCAGGCAUCAGCUUUUCGAGCCAGGUACUAUGGGGGAGGGGGCUCCAAAGAUGGAUUCAACCCAGACCUGCCCUGGGGCCUAAACCUGCUUGCAAAGAAUCUUUAUGUACCUGAAGUCAUCUUCAAGAGAAGUGGUGACAGCAACCUUUCCUCAGAGGAAGGAAGGGGGAGAUGAAGGUUUAGAAGUUAAAAGAGGGAAGAUGAGGGAUGUCAUCCUGAUGACCUUCAUUUCCCAGGGACGCAGGAAGCAAGGUCACCUGCUAGAGGUGAGAGGAAGCAGGCGGAGGAAGGAACCUGAGCACAGUGGCAAAAUUCUGGACUUGCCAUUGUGGAAGAAACAAAGGAAACUGAGUAAGGACAAAUAGAAUAAUUGCCGGGCAGCACCAAGGACCCAGAUGAAGUGAGAAAAACAGCUAUAAGGAGUUAUAACAAUGCAGAUCAGGUCUUUAUUUCUCUCACAAGGCCCCCCAAUUAGCAUCCAGGAUGGAAAAAAUGAUUGCGGUUGAAAAGCUGGGACCUGGAUAAAAUCAGGAAGAGAAGAGCCAAGAGACAGCUUCUGGACUCUGGAAGUGGGAAGACUCUAGAGACUCAAAGCCUGAUUGGGUCUGAAAGCAAAGUUAUGACAACGAGGGCACUGAAGAAGUGAGAAGAUUGGGAAUUUCAUAAUUCUAGAUUUUGGAGGGGAACAACUCUAUCAUAAGUGACAGGAGGCGGCAGUUGGAAACCACGAGGUGAGACUACCAUGAGGGUCAUCAUCAUGGAGGCUGAUGUGGUCCAGGACGCCAGGGUUGAGAGGCACAUUAUGAGCCAAGGGCCCGAAUGCUAUUUGGAUUGAGGGAGCAAACUAGAGGUCAAGGAAUGACCUUGAUAAAGAAGGGAAUGGCUGGACCACAGGUAUCACGCCAGUGUUGGCUGAAAAUGACCUAAGAGAACUGUGAACGCUAUGCUGAACUUGAGGCUGAGCCAUAAUUUAACUGUCAAAAAAUGACCAAGCUUCAUAAAUAUAAAGAAAAUCUAAUAAAAAUGAGGCAUGAAUCAGGUUUUAUUUCAUGGCUAUCUCUAGUUUGGGCUCCAUGGCUUAAGAAAAGCCAAUAGGACUAGAUUUUUAGAAAAUUAUAUUAUUGUUAAAAUACAUAUGAUCCUAUUGAGAGCUAAAACGAAGAGCUUGGCAAAAGCAGAUUAAGUGCCUGCUGAGUCCCUGGGCUGGCUGGAAGCUGAGCUGAGCCAUGGUCUUUGUCCUGACCCCCAGUGCCUGGCUCUGCGCACACCAGAAUAUCCCAGAUCCAGUCACAGCAAAAAGCUAGAAAAACUUCAGAAAAGAAGCGUGCAGGAAAGCCAAGUAAUAGGAUGCCAAUAUGUGAAGGGACUUGGGACAUCUAUUCCCUGAGGACAAAAUGAAAGGAUGUGGGUUUACAUCUCAAAGGGAGGGACUUUACACUUAAACACAAAGAACAACUUUCUGACUAGAAGACCUGAGAUGAGCUACGCAAAGAGGAAGCCAAAACUUCUGCCCUGGAAUUUCCUUUUUGCUUAGUCCUGUGAUUUUCUGAGUCCUAAGAGUUUCCCUAUUUGGACAAUUGACAGGUCUGAGAAUCACUGAAGUCCUGCCCCCCUCCAGGACUCCCUGGCAGGUUCUUCCUCCUCCUCAUGUGUCUUCACCCAUAUGGUCCCCAUAUGGUCUCAGCCUGGUACCAUCAUCUUAUCAGUGCCUCCCAGGCUCCCCACCCUGCCUGUUCUAUAUCACAGUGCUGCUUAUUUUUCAAAGAAUUCGUGUUUAACUUACAGGGUGAAUUCUCAUCCCCUCACAACUCAUAUGUUGAAGUCUUAACCCCCAGUUACCAAAGACUGUGACUGUAUUUGAAGAUCAGGCCUUUGAAGAGGUGAUUAAGUUAAUGGGGCCAUUAGGGUGCGCCCUAAUCCAAUAUGGCUGCUGACCUUAUAGGGAGAGGCAAUUUGGACGCAUAACGAGACACCAAGGAUGUGCGCCCACAGAGGGAAGAAAAGCCAAAGCGAGAGGCCUCGGGAGAAAUCAAAUCUGCUGACAUCUUGAUCUUGGACUUCUAGCCUCCAGAACUGUGAGAAAAUAAAUUUCCAUUGUUUAGGUCGCCCAAUUUGUGGUAUUUUGUUACAGCAGCACCAGAGACUAAUACAGAUUAUAUGCAUUAUUUUUUGCUUACUUGUUUAUUGUCUUUCCCUCCCAUUAGAAUAUAAUCUUCAUGAAGGCAAGCCCUUGUCUGUCUUUUUUUUUCUUUCUUUCUUUUGUCCUUGUCUGUCUUACUCCCCACUGUAUCUUAAGCACCUAGACCUGUGCCUGGGAAACCACAGGCACUGAAUGAAUGAAUUAAAUAAUGAAAGUCCGAUUGAAGCAAAGAUAAUGAGGUCAAGAUAGGUCUUAGCCAGCAAGAGGCCUUCUGGAAUUUGAACUGAAACUACUGUUUCCAGCAGAAUGAAAGAAUGGAUUUUUCCUCUGGUUUCAGAUAAAACACUGGAAGAACAUGAGGUGCUACCAGUCAAAGCAUUAGAGCGAGUCCUUGGGGCCUUACACUAGAAGCUGAUGCUAAUGUCUGCAUCCUGAGGACAAAUCCCUUCCCUUGAAUGAAGAUUCUAGAUCUCAGAACACUUCUAUUGUUUCACAGAAUUAUCAUAUAUUAACCAUUCCUCAGAACAAUAGCAUAGUAUAUUUUCCAAGCCUCACAAAAAGGUCAAGGUCAAGGUCAAGUAGCAGCAGUCUCUUUGACUGAGCUCCUGAAGUUGUUGGGAUGCAAGAGGAAACCAAGAUGCCAUGUUACAAACUCAAAGAAGCCAACGGUGAAGCCAUCCAAAUCUCAAAACUCGAGCCACUGGCUAAUCUUUAAGUAGAGUUUGACUGAGUUCAUUUCUAUCCUCUUCAGAUUGUCAGCACCACCUACACCCUCAUCCGUCUCUGGGCGAAUAUUCUCCACCUUGGCUACUCUUACAGGAUUGACAUAAGGAUAAAAUACGAAAGGAAAUCGCAAAGCACUCAACGAAUGUGAGAUACAGGAGGAGGAGGAGGAGCCACAGAAGGGGUGUGGCUAACACCCUAACACCCAACAGAAAUGACCCGGCAGGAUGCCCAAACCUGGGCUCUCAUCCAGUUCUCCCUCCUGACACAGCAGGAGGGGGCUUUCGGUCCUCAUUUUCCUCAGUCUUGGGAAAUAUACUGUAAAUGAGAAUUUUUAAAUCUUGAGAGUUGAAAAGAAGCCUAGGUAAUCAGGCCCAACUUCCCCUCUUCAAUCUGCCUAUCACCUGUGUGUCUAAAAUGGUCUUCAGGACUUUCCAUGACUAAGUAGUUCUACCAGAAACCAACACAUUUCCCCACCUUCAGAGGUAAACUUCUAUAAAUGUGUCAUGCAACUGGGUGAUGGUGGAGUUACCAAGCCAGGCGCUGCCCUGGGAAUACAAGUGAAUUAAUUCACAGAUACCUAAGAAAGGCAAUGGUCUUCAGUCCCCUGAGGGAAGCACUAUGUUGACACAGGGAAAGAAGAGUAAGGGUACUGCACAUUUCACAUCAACUGAGUCCUACCAAUAAUAAACAUCGUCAGGGCUCAGAAGGGUGAGGAAAGGAAGUCUUCCUCUGGCUAGGAUGAUCAGAGCACAAAGAAUGGCACGGUAGGAUUCAUGGAGGGCCUUUGCUAGAGAUUUCUGCCAUGUGUGGAAGCAUUGGCCACAGCUUUCCACGGCUUGAAUUCUAAGAGGCCAUUUGAUCAAGCCCUCUCUGCAACUCUACCCCAGCCUACCGUUCACCCCUCAGAAUGCUCUGAACAGCUUCCUGUAAUGAAAGCUCAUUACAAUUUCAGAGCAUCAGUGGACCCUAUGGAACUCAUCCCAGAGACCCCAAGUCAAAACGUUUAGGUUCUAUAAGAGAGACAUGCAAUCUGGUCAGACCAUAGCCAGUGUCUUCUCUCCCAGACCUCUUUCUCCCUAGGUGUUAGAAGUAUCAAAAUGUCGUCAUUUACACUGAAAUCAGAUCAGCCUGUAAAAUAGGACCAGCCCAGGUCACAGGAGGUCAAGCAGCUUAGAAUUCCCUGCCCCUCUUUUCUCUUCCCUUUGACUACGGUUUGCUUGGACAUCUGUAGAUACAUAUGUGGAUUCUGAAAGUCAUUAACCACAAGGAGAUGCUUCAAUUCUCCCAGUCUAUCAGGAAGUAAUAAAGGGACAUUGCUGAGUGGGGUAGAAAAUGGUAUUAGAAACAGAGCAGGGCCAGGCCAUGCGCUACAGCAGACAGAGAACAUGGCGGCUUUCCAUAACCCAAAGGAUGUCAAAGAGAGUCUGACAGUCUGUGGAAGAGCAAGCCUGCUUUAUCCCAUCACUGGAAGUCCAGACGAGACAAUACAAUCUAGAUAAAAGAAGGAAGGGGGUGCAUCCCAGCUUUCACUGACUAGGGAAAAAACAUAGAUUGGGUCAACAUCAAAGUCACUCGCCAGGCAAAGUCCUCAAACAAAUGUGGUGAUUUCUCUCACUGAUCUCACAGUUCUAUGCGCAUCAGAGUAAAAACAUUCAGAAUUUAACACCAUCUCUGGCACGUAGAAGUUAAUUAGAAAGUACUAGAUGAUCCUGUAUGGCUACACUUUUCACAUUC